UGAGGAACAUGACCUUCGGCGGGGGAUAGCCGGCCCAACGGCCGGGUAAUACCGCGUACGACCACAUGGGGACAUCCCUGAGUGGUGAAAGCAGCAAUGCGCCGAUGGAGUGCCUCGCGGCCUAUCAGCUAGUUGGUGAGGUAAUGGCUCACCAAGGCGACGACGGGUAGCCGGCCUGAGGAGGGCGAUCGGCCACACGUGGGACUGAGACACGGCCCAGACCUCCGUAGGGACGG
This 236-nucleotide ribosomal RNA is filed under the name uncultured bacterium. RNAcentral's name for it is "partial 16S ribosomal RNA". It matches the Rfam family "Bacterial small subunit ribosomal RNA", at positions 118 to 348 of the family's 1533-position model. The record is from RNAcentral.